UGUUGCAGUUAAAAAGCUCGUAUUGAAUUUCUGGCAUGGGCGACCGGUGCUUUCCCUGAAUGGGGAUUGAUUGUCUGUGUUGCCUUGGCCAUCUUUCUCAUGCUAUUUUUGGGAAGAAAUCUUUCACUGUAAUCAAAGCAAAGUGUUCCAAGCAGGUCGUAUGACCGGUAUGUUUAUUAUGGGAUGAUAAAAUAGGACUUGGGUGCUAUUUUGUUGGUUUGCACCCCUGAUUAAGGGUUAAUAGGAACAGUUGGGGGUAUUCGUAUUUAGGACCUAAAGGUGAAAUUCUUGAAUUUCCAAAAAACAAACUAAACCGAAGGCAUUUACCAACCAUGUUUUCAUUAAUCAAAAACAAAAGUCGGGGGAUCGAAAAUGAUUAAAUACCAUCGAAUUCUAAACCGUAAACAAUGCCAACUUG
This 418-nucleotide ribosomal RNA is filed under the name Thraustochytrium sp. RNAcentral describes it as "SSU rRNA". It matches the Rfam family "Eukaryotic small subunit ribosomal RNA", at positions 611 to 1049 of the family's 1831-position model. The record is from RNAcentral. Lineage: Eukaryota; Bigyra; Thraustochytrida; Thraustochytriidae.